RNAcentral lists this ribosomal RNA (1845 nucleotides) under Rickettsia sp. wq. RNAcentral describes it as "bacterial LSU rRNA". It matches the Rfam family "Bacterial large subunit ribosomal RNA", at positions 1 to 1998 of the family's 2925-position model. The record is from RNAcentral. Lineage: Bacteria; Pseudomonadati; Pseudomonadota; Alphaproteobacteria; Rickettsiales; Rickettsiaceae.
CGUAAGUAAAUAUAAUAAGAGCAUUUGGUGGAUGCCUUGGCAUUAGAAGGCGAUGAAGGACGUAAUACGCUGCGAUAAGCUUCGGGGAGCUGCGAAUAAGCUUUGAUCCAAAGAUUUCCGAAUGGGGAAACCCACCUAAUUUAUUAGGUAUUGUAUAGUGAAUACAUAGCUAUAUGAGGCAAACCCAGCGAACUGAAAUAUCUAAGUAGCUGGAGGAAAGGACAUCAACCGAGACUCCGUUAGUAGUGACGAGCGAACGCGGACCAGGCCAGUGGCUUCAAAAAAAAUAACUAAAACAACAUGGAAAGGUUGACCGUAGAGGGUGAUAGUCCCGUAUAGGUAAAAAGUUUGAAGUCCUUGAGUAAGGCGGGACACGUGAAAUCCUGUCUGAACAUAGGGGGACCACCCUCUAAGCCUAAGUACUCUCUAGUGACCGAUAGUGAACAAGUACCGUGAGGGAAAGGUGAAAAGUACCCCAACAAGGGGAGUGAAAUAGUAUCUGAAACCAAAUGCUUACAAGCAGUCGGGGCAAGCAUUUAUGUCUUGUGACGGCGUACCUUUUGUAUAAUGGGUCAGCGACUUAGUUUAUCUAGCAAGCUUAAGCCGUUAGGUGUAGGCGUAGCGAAAGCGAGUCUGAAUAGGGCGACUAUAGUUAGAUGAAUUAGACCCGAAACCGAGUGAUCUAGCCAUGGCCAGGUUGAAAGCGGAGUAAAAUCCGCUGAAGGACCGAACCCACUACUGUUGAAAAAGUAGGGGAUGAGCUGUGGUUAGGGGUGAAAGGCCAAUCAAACUCGGAUAUAGCUGGUUCUCCGCGAAAUCUAUUUAGGUAGAGCGUUAUAGCGGUUACCAUCGGAGGUAGAGCACUGAAUGAGCUAGGGGGUCCCACAGACUUACCAAACUCAAUCAAACUCCGAAUGCCGAUGAGUAUAGCAUAGCAGACAGACUAUGGGUGCUAAGGUCCAUAGUCGAGAGGGAAAAAGCCCAGACCGCCAUCUAAGGUCCCUAAAUCAUGACUAAGUGUUAAAGGAUGUGAGAAGACCAAAACAACUAGGAUGUUGGCUUAGAAGCAGCCAUCAUUUAAAGAAAGCGUAAUAGCUCACUAGUCUAAAUAAGUUUUCUUGCGCCAACAAUGUAACGGGGCUCAAGUCAUGUACCGAAGAUGCGGAUUCACACAUUUGGUGUGAGUGGUAGCGGAGCGUUCCGUAAGCCUGUGAAGGUGAACCGUAAGGUUUGCUGGAGGUAUCGGAAGUGAGAAUGCUGACAUAAGUAGCGAUAAAGAAUGCGAGAAACAUUCUCGCCGAAAGUCCAAGGGUUCUUGCGUAAAGUUAAUCUGCGCAAGGUUAGUCGGCCCCUAAGGUGAGGCUGAAAGGCGUAAUCGAUGGGAAUCAGGUUAAUAUUCCUGAACCUGAAGGAUGUGACGAAAGUAGUAAGUUGUACAGUCUUAUUGGAUUGAUUGUGCAGCGAAUAUUUUCCAGGAAAUAACACCUUCAUUAUAGACCGUACCCGAAACCGACACAGGUGGACAGGUAGAGUAUACCAAGGCGCUUGAGAGAACGAUGCUGAAGGAACUAGGCAAAUUGCAUCUGUAACUUCGGAAGAAAGAUGACCUACAUAUGGGCAACCAUUUGUGGGUGGCACAAGCUAGGGGGUAGCGACUGUUUAUUAAAAACACAGGGCUCUGCAAAGUCAAUAGAUGAAGUAUAGGGUCUGACGCCUGCCCAGUGCUGGAAGAUUAAGAGGAGGGGUGCAAGCUCUGAAUUGAAGUCCCAGUGAACGGCGGCCGUAACUAUGACGGUCCUAAGGUAGCGAAAUUCCUUGUCGGGUAAGUUCCGACCCGCACGAAUG